This 477-nucleotide ribosomal RNA is filed under the name Veillonella parvula. Its description in RNAcentral is "bacterial SSU rRNA". It matches the Rfam family "Bacterial small subunit ribosomal RNA", at positions 28 to 474 of the family's 1533-position model. Lineage: Bacteria; Bacillati; Bacillota; Negativicutes; Veillonellales; Veillonellaceae. The record is from RNAcentral.
GACGAACGCUGGCGGCGUGCUUAACACAUGCAAGUCGAACGAAGAGCGAUGGAAGCUUGCUUCUAUCAAUCUUAGUGGCGAACGGGUGAGUAACGCGUAAUCAACCUGCCCUUCAGAGGGGGACAACGGUUGGAAACGACUGCUAAUACCGCAUACGAUCUAACCUCGGCAUCAAGGAAAGAUGAAAGGUGGCCUCUACAUGUAAGCUAUCACUGAAGGAGGGGAUUGCGUCUGAUUAGCUAGUUGGAGGGGUAACGGCCCACCAAGGCGAUGAUCAGUAGCCGGUCUGAGAGGAUGAACGGCCACAUUGGGACUGAGACACGGCCCAGACUCCUACGGGAGGCAGCAGUGGGGAAUCUUCCGCAAUGGACGAAAGUCUGACGGAGCAACGCCGCGUGAGUGAUGACGGCCUUCGGGUUGUAAAGCUCUGUUAAUUGGGACGAAAGGCCUUCUUGCGAAUAGUUAGGAGGAUUGACG